UUAAGCGACUAAGCGUACACGGUGGAUGCCCUGGCAGUCAGAGGCGAUGAAGGACGUGCUAAUCUGCGAUAAGCGUCGGUAAGGUGAUAUGAACCGUUAUAACCGGCGAUUUCCGAAUGGGGAAACCCAGUGUGAUUCGUCACACUAUCAUUAACUGAAUCCAUAGGUUAAUGAGGCGAACCGGGGGAACUGAAACAUCUAAGUACCCCGAGGAAAAGAAAUCAACCGAGAUUCCCCCAGUAGCGGCGAGCGAACGGGGAGCAGCCCAGAGCCUGAAUCAGUGUGUGUGUUAGUGGAAGCGUCUGGAAAGGCGCGCGAUACAGGGUGACAGCCCCGUACACAAAAAUGCACAUNCUGUGAGCUCGAUGAGUAGGGCGGGACACGUGGUAUCCUGUCUGAAUAUGGGGGGACCAUCCUCCAAGGCUAAAUACUCCUGACUGACCGAUAGUGAACCAGUACCGUGAGGGAAAGGCGAAAAGAACCCCGGCGAGGGGAGUGAAAAAGAACCUGAAACCGUGUACGUACAAGCAGUGGGAGCACAGAGCAAUCUGUGUGACUGCGUACCUUUUGUAUAAUGGGUCAGCGACUUAUAUUCUGUAGCAAGGUUAACCGAAUAGGGGAGCCGAAGGGAAACCGAGUCUUAACUGGGCGUUAAGUUGCAGGGUAUAGACCCGAAACCCGGUGAUCUAGCCAUGGGCAGGUUGAAGGUUGGGUAACACUAACUGGAGGACCGAACCGACUAAUGUUGAAAAAUUAGCGGAUGACUUGUGGCUGGGGGUGAAAGGCCAAUCAAACCGGGAGAUAGCUGGUUCUCCCCGAAAGCUAUUUAGGUAGCGCCUCGUGAAUUCAUCUCCGGGGGUAGAGCACUGUUUCGGCAAGGGGGUCAUCCCGACUUACCAACCCGAUGCAAACUGCGAAUACCGGAGAAUGUUAUCACGGGAGACACACGGCGGGUGCUAACGUCCGUCGUGAAGAGGGAAACAACCCAGACCGCCAGCUAAGGUCCCAAAGUCAUGGUUAAGUGGGAAACGAUGUGGGAAGGCCCAGACAGCCAGGAUGUUGGCUUAGAAGCAGCCAUCAUUUAAAGAAAGCGUAAUAGCUCACUGGUCGAGUCGGCCUGCGCGGAAGAUGUAACGGGGCUAAACCAUGCACCGAAGCUGCGGCAGCGACGCUNNNNNNNNNNNNNNNNNNNNNNNNNNNNNNNAUGCGUUGUUGGGUAGGGGAGCGUUCUGUAAGCCUGCGAAGGUGUGCUGUGAGGCAUGCUGGAGGUAUCAGAAGUGCGAAUGCUGACAUAAGUAACGAUAAAGCGGGUGAAAAGCCCGCUCGCCGGAAGACCAAGGGUUCCUGUCCAACGUUAAUCGGGGCAGGGUGAGUCGACCCCUAAGGCGAGGCCGAAAGGCGUAGUCGAUGGGAAACAGGUUAAUAUUCCUGUACUUGGUGUUACUGCGAAGGGGGGACGGAGAAGGCUAUGUUGGCCGGGCGACGGUUGUCCCGGUUUAAGCGUGUAGGCUGGUUUUCCAGGCAAAUCCGGAAAAUCAAGGCUGAGGCGUGAUGACGAGGCACUACGGUGCUGAAGCAACAAAUGCCCUGCUUCCAGGAAAAGCCUCUAAGCAUCAGGUAACAUCAAAUCGUACCCCAAACCGACACAGGUGGUCAGGUAGAGAAUACCAAGGCGCUUGAGAGAACUCGGGUGAAGGAACUAGGCAAAAUGGUGCCGUAACUUCGGGAGAAGGCACGCUGAUAUGUAGGUGAAGUCCCUCGCGGAUGGAGCUGAAAUCAGUCGAAGAUACCAGCUGGCUGCAACUGUUUAUUAAAAACACAGCACUGUGCAAACACGAAAGUGGACGUAUACGGUGUGACGCCUGCCCGGUGCCGGAAGGUUAAUUGAUGGGGUUAGCGCAAGCGAAGCUCUUGAUCGAAGCCCCGGUAAACGGCGGCCGUAACUAUAACGGUCCUAAGGUAGCGAAAUUCCUUGUCGGGUAAGUUCCGACCUGCACGAAUGGCGUAAUGAUGGCCAGGCUGUCUCCACCCGAGACUCAGUGAAAUUGAACUCGCUGUGAAGAUGCAGUGUACCCGCGGCAAGACGGAAAGACCCCGUGAACCUUUACUAUAGCUUGACACUGAACAUUGAGCCUUGAUGUGUAGGAUAGGUGGGAGGCUUUGAAGUGUGGACGCCAGUCUGCAUGGAGCCGACCUUGAAAUACCACCCUUUAAUGUUUGAUGUUCUAACGUUGACCCGUAAUCCGGGUUGCGGACAGUGUCUGGUGGGUAGUUUGACUGGGGCGGUCUCCUCCUAAAGAGUAACGGAGGAGCACGAAGGUUGGCUAAUCCUGGUCGGACAUCAGGAGGUUAGUGCAAUGGCAUAAGCCAGCUUGACUGCGAGCGUGACGGCGCGAGCAGGUGCGAAAGCAGGUCAUAGUGAUCCGGUGGUUCUGAAUGGAAGGGCCAUCGCUCAACGGAUAAAAGGUACUCCGGGGAUAACAGGCUGAUACCGCCCAAGAGUUCAUAUCGACGGCGGUGUUUGGCACCUCGAUGUCGGCUCAUCACAUCCUGGGGCUGAAGUAGGUCCCAAGGGUAUGGCUGUUCGCCAUUUAAAGUGGUACGCGAGCUGGGUUUAGAACGUCGUGAGACAGUUCGGUCCCUAUCUGCCGUGGGCGCUGGAGAAUUGAGGGGGGCUGCUCCUAGUACGAGAGGACCGGAGUGGACGCAUCACUGGUGUUCGGGUUGUCAUGCCAAUGGCACUGCCCGGUAGCUAAAUGCGGAAGAGAUAAGUGCUGAAAGCAUCUAAGCACGAAACUUGCCCCGAGAUGAGUUCUCCCUGACUCCUUGAGAGUCCUGAAGGAACGUUGAAGACGACGACGUUGAUAGGCCGGGUGUGUAAGCGCAGCGAUGCGUUGAGCUAACCGGUACUAAUGAACCGUGAGGCUUAACCUU
RNAcentral lists this ribosomal RNA (2934 nucleotides) under Escherichia coli. RNAcentral describes it as "bacterial LSU rRNA". It matches the Rfam family "Bacterial large subunit ribosomal RNA". The record is from RNAcentral. Lineage: Bacteria; Pseudomonadati; Pseudomonadota; Gammaproteobacteria; Enterobacterales; Enterobacteriaceae.